CCUCUUUGGCGGUGUGUUUGUCGAGAUCCGAUGAAUUGUGGAUUUGUGAUCAGAUUAUCUAUGAAUUAUAUUUGAGUCUUUGCUGAUUUCUUAUAUGCAUGAUUUGAUAUCCUUGUAAGUCUCUCCGAGUCUUGGGUUUUGCUUGGCCAACUAGAUCUAUGAUUCUUGCAAUGGGAGAAGUGCUUGGUUUUGGGUUCAUACCGUGCGGUGACCUUUCCCAGUGACAGAAGGGGAAGCAAGGCACGCAUCGUGUUGUUGCCAUCAAGGGUAACAAGAUGGGC
This 281-nucleotide long non-coding RNA is filed under the name Hordeum vulgare. RNAcentral describes it as "long non-coding RNA (HVUL_LNC013433)". The record is from RNAcentral. Lineage: Eukaryota; Viridiplantae; Streptophyta; Magnoliopsida; Poales; Poaceae.